CAGUAGCCGCGGUAAUACGUAGGUGGCAAGCGUUGUCCGGAAUUAUUGGGCGUAAAGGGCUCGCAGGCGGUUUCUUAAGUCUGAUGUGAAAGCCCCCGGCUCAACCGGGGAGGGUCAUUGGAAACUGGGAAACUUGAGUGCAGAAGAGGAGAGUGGAAUUCCACGUGUAGCGGUGAAAUGCGUAGAGAUGUGGAGGAACACCAGUGGCGAAGGCGACUCUCUGGUCUGUAACUGACGCUGAGGCUCGAAAGCGUGGGGAGCAAACAGGAUUAGAUACCCGAGUAGUCCCUGUCUCUUAUAC
This 301-nucleotide ribosomal RNA is filed under the name uncultured bacterium. RNAcentral describes it as "partial 16S ribosomal RNA". It matches the Rfam family "Bacterial small subunit ribosomal RNA", at positions 509 to 807 of the family's 1533-position model. The record is from RNAcentral.